RNAcentral lists this non-coding RNA (29 nucleotides) under Rattus norvegicus (Norway rat). Lineage: Eukaryota; Metazoa; Chordata; Mammalia; Rodentia; Muridae. The record is from RNAcentral.
UCCAAACGCCUAUACAUUUCUCCCCAUGC